This is a long non-coding RNA of Cherax quadricarinatus, 859 nucleotides long. RefSeq lists it as uncharacterized. The record is from RefSeq and is a predicted model, not a curated record. NCBI's taxonomy places the organism in Eukaryota, Metazoa, Arthropoda, Malacostraca, Decapoda, Parastacidae.
GCUUCGGCAUCAGAUACAGUAUUGGUUAUAGUUGUUAUAAUGUUAACAAUGUAAUGGUAAUAGGUAUUGUUUCAAUAUCCGAUGUCAGGAUUUUCACUCAGUGCAAUAUAUUUGUUUGAAUUUUCUUGUGACUCAUGUUUGUGUAUGGUUUUAAAUAAAAUAUAAAAAAAAACUCUGGGUGUAUGAAUCCUGUGUUCAGGAAGAUGUUAAAAACACCGUGAAGAAAUGACUCAUUCAAAGGGUUCAAGCUCAGCUUCGAAGCCUCGAAGCUGAGGUUCACGAAGCUUAUUUUCCCUCACUGUGGUUGUAGCAGCUACUACAGGACGGUCGCGUCACUACACUCUCCUACCUACAGAUAUGAUUUCAUCGUAGACUUUUUGAAAGGAAUCUGAACCUAUCUCUUCGGAGAUGUUCAAGCAUCUAAAACUUCCUCACAAUUCAUCACUUGCACGUGACAAGGAAGCAUGUGAACGACCUUGGUGUCUCCACCUCCAGGUCAACCUUCGUAACUCAUAACCUCGAGAAAAACAAGAGCUCUUUUUCCUGAGGAGUGGCGUCCUUGUAGCCAGGAUUUAAAGACUUCUUUAAAGCUAACUCAAGCGACCACAGAGGACUAGAGUUGAAAGUCAGGCUAAAUAACACAUAUCAGAAACUCAACAAUUUCCUCUAUGCGCAGCUUCAUUUUCGUUGUUGCUGGUCCAGAGGAGGAUGCUGGCGUGAUGCUGUAAGUGCCGCCCAGAGGAGGAUGCUGGCGUGAUGCUGUAAGUGCCGCCCAGAGGAGGAUGCUGGCGUGAUGCUGUAAGCGCCGCCCAGAGGAGGAUGCUGGCGUGAUGCUGUAAGCGCCGCCCAGAGGAGGAUG